Molecule: ribosomal RNA, 253 nt
Filed under: uncultured bacterium
Lineage: Bacteria
Description: partial 16S ribosomal RNA
Rfam family: Bacterial small subunit ribosomal RNA
Source: RNAcentral
UACAGAGGGGGCAAGCGUUAUUCGGAAUUAUUGGGCGUAAAGAGCGUGUAGGCUGCCCGGUAAGUCCGCUGUGAAAGUCGGGGGCUCAACCCUCGAAUGCCGGUGGAUACUGUCGGGCUAGAGUGCGGAAGAGGCGAGUGGAAUUCCUGGUGUAGCGGUGAAAUGCGCAGAUAUCAGGAGGAACACCAAUUGCGAAGGCAGCUCGCUGGGACGUAACUGACGCUGAGACGCGAAAGCGUGGGGAGCAAACAGG